This 126-nucleotide non-coding RNA is filed under the name Acinetobacter bouvetii. RNAcentral's name for it is "TPP sequence". It matches the Rfam family "TPP riboswitch aptamer (THI element)". From Rfam's summary of the family: Vitamin B(1) in its active form thiamin pyrophosphate (TPP) is an essential coenzyme that is synthesised by coupling of pyrimidine and thiazole moieties in bacteria. The previously detected thiamin-regulatory element, thi box was extended, resulting in a new, highly conserved RNA secondary structure, the THI element, which is widely distributed in eubacteria and also occurs in some archaea. The record is from RNAcentral. Lineage: Bacteria; Pseudomonadati; Pseudomonadota; Gammaproteobacteria; Moraxellales; Moraxellaceae.
CAUCGCUUGACGGAGCGCGAGUAAUCCCUCGCUGAGAUCACUUAAAAGCAUUUGAUGUUUUUGAGAGUGAGUACCGUUGAACCUGAUCAGGUUAAAACCUGCGUAGGAAUCAAGCCAGUCUAAAAA